This 290-nucleotide unclassified non-coding RNA is filed under the name Hevea brasiliensis (rubber tree). The record is from RNAcentral. Lineage: Eukaryota; Viridiplantae; Streptophyta; Magnoliopsida; Malpighiales; Euphorbiaceae.
UAAAGAUUCUGCCAUAGCUGCUUGUGUUAGCCGCCAAUUCAGGUCCUCAGCGUCCGAAGAUUCUCUAUGGGAGAAAUUUUGCAACCAGGACCUCAACCUCACCGACCCAAUUGAUUAUUUGGGGAACCCAAUUCCUUCAUUCAAGGAGACGUAUCGAGCAUGGCGCAGAGCUUUUAGGAUGUAUCCUUGGCCUCUGGUCAAGCGAAUUAAGGGAUGUUGGGAUAGACUCAAAAACUGGUUGAGUACUAAUUUUCCUGAGGCUCUGGUGACACUGCGGAAAGGUGCAUCAG